Molecule: small nuclear RNA, 130 nt
Organism: Sapajus apella (tufted capuchin)
Lineage: Eukaryota; Metazoa; Chordata; Mammalia; Primates; Cebidae
Source: RefSeq, a predicted model, not a curated record
GUGUUGUAUGAAAGGAGAAAAGUUAGCACUCCCUUGACAAGGAUGGAAGAGGCCCUUGGGCCUGACGACAUGCAUACAGUUAAGAAACCCGGCCGGGCGCGGUGGCUCAGGCCUGUAAUCCCAGCCCUUU